GACGAACGCUGGCGGCGUGCUUAACACAUGCAAGUCGAACGGUAAGGCCCUUUCGGGGGUCCACGAGUGGCGAACGGGUGAGUAACACGUGGGUGAUCUGCCCUGCACUUUGGGAUAAGCCUGGGAAACUGGGUCUAAUACCGGAUAGGACUACGCGAUGCAUGUCGUGUGGUGGAAAGCUUUUGCGGUGUGGGAUGGGCCCGCGGCCUAUCAGCUUGUUGGUGGGGUGAUGGCCUACCAAGGCGACGACGGGCAGCCGGCCUGAGAGGGUGUCCGGCCACACUGGGACUGAGAUACGGCCCAGACUCCUACGGGAGGCAGCAGUGGGGAAUAUUGCACAAUGGGCGCAAGCCUGAUGCAGCGACGCCGCGUGGGGGAUGACGGCCUUCGGGUUGUAAACCCCUUUCAGCACAGACGAAGCGUAAGUGACGGUAUGUGCAGAAGAAGCACCGGCCAACUACGUG
This 464-nucleotide ribosomal RNA is filed under the name uncultured bacterium. Its description in RNAcentral is "partial 16S ribosomal RNA". It matches the Rfam family "Bacterial small subunit ribosomal RNA", at positions 28 to 507 of the family's 1533-position model. The record is from RNAcentral.